GAUGAACGCUGGCGGCGUGCCUAAUACAUGCAAGUCGAGCGAACGGACGAGAAGCUUGCUUCUCUGAUGUUAGCGGCGGACGGGUGAGUAACACGUGGAUAACCUACCUAUAAGACUGGGAUAACUUCGGGAAACCGGAGCUAAUACCGGAUAAUAUUUUGAACCGCAUGGUUCAAAAGUGAAAGACGGUCUUGCUGUCACUUAUAGAUGGAUCCGCGCUGCAUUAGCUAGUUGGUAAGGUAACGGCUUACCAAGGCAACGAUGCAUAGCCGACCUGAGAGGGUGAUCGGCCACACUGGACCGGAGACAGGGCCCAGACUCCUACGGAAGGCAGCGGCAGGGAACCUUCCGCAAUGGGCGAAAGCCUGACGGAGCAACGCCGCGUGAGUGAUGAAGGUCUUCGGAUCGUAAAACUCUGUUAUUAGGGAAGAACAUAUGUGUAAGUAACUGUGCACAUCUUGACGGUACCUAAUCAGAAAGCCACGGCUAACUACGU
RNAcentral lists this ribosomal RNA (496 nucleotides) under uncultured bacterium. RNAcentral's name for it is "partial 16S ribosomal RNA". It matches the Rfam family "Bacterial small subunit ribosomal RNA", at positions 28 to 506 of the family's 1533-position model. The record is from RNAcentral.